RNAcentral lists this small RNA (196 nucleotides) under Nitrosomonas europaea ATCC 19718. RNAcentral's name for it is "Proteobacterial sRNA psRNA2". It matches the Rfam family "Proteobacterial sRNA psRNA2". Lineage: Bacteria; Pseudomonadati; Pseudomonadota; Betaproteobacteria; Nitrosomonadales; Nitrosomonadaceae. The record is from Rfam by way of RNAcentral.
GGAUUACUCCUUUACGCUUUCGCGUUUGGUUGAUAAAGAUUCGCACCUCUAUCAAACCGGGUAAUCCCACCUCUUGGCAAGACCUGCUGUCAGAUCAAAUCUGAACUACUACACUUUAUAUAAAUUGGUUGUGAAAUUUUUUCAUUUAUAUGGCAGUCAUGAUUCUUUUUCAUUCUGGUUGAAAAUUCCGAAGCUG